Molecule: long non-coding RNA, 561 nt
Filed under: Ananas comosus (pineapple)
Lineage: Eukaryota; Viridiplantae; Streptophyta; Magnoliopsida; Poales; Bromeliaceae
Description: long non-coding RNA (ACOM_LNC031428)
Source: RNAcentral
CUCUCCGCCGGCCACGGCUGUAUGCUCCAGUACGCCCUCCUCCACCUCGCCGGCUACGACAGCAUCAAGGUCCCCCCCACCCCCAUCCCUUCUGUCCAUCCAUUUAUCUCUAUCUCUAUCUCUGUCUCGUCACUGCAUCUCUACCUCUGUCUCGUCGCUGCCGUACUGCUGCAGCUGCUACUUCUUCCAUCUCAUCCCCUCAAUCUGCAUAACAUGGUGUCGAAGUUAACGCUAGUCCUAAGCUUCCUCAGUUUUCCGUUCCGGGAGAUGUUUAGUUGAAUUCUCACAUCUGCCAUUUUAGCGACGUAUAUACAUUCUCCUUUGUUAGUCUGUUAACUCUCCUGUGUGGCAUGGUUCGUCUGAGCUAGCCCAUGCGCCCGAGCCAUCGUGUUAAUAUUUUGUGAUGACCCUGUUUACUUACCUCUGUCCGUUAUAUACUUGUUUCCGGAACAAUUACGCUUUCAUUUGCUAUUACCUACGUAGAGUUUUGAUGGUUCAGUAAUGAUAAAACGAAUAUCUGAAUCCUAAGCUCCUCUUUCAUCAUCGAGCUUCUGAUCCUUC